Molecule: ribosomal RNA, 250 nt
Filed under: uncultured bacterium
Lineage: Bacteria
Description: partial 16S ribosomal RNA
Rfam family: Bacterial small subunit ribosomal RNA
Source: RNAcentral
CGAACGGACAUGGUAACAUGUCAGUGGCAAACGGGUGAGUAACGCGUGGGAAUGUACCCCUUAGUUCGGGAUAACGACUGGAAACGGUCGCUAAUACCGAAUACACCGGAGACGGGAAAGAUAUAUUGCUAAGGGAGCGGCCCGCGUUAGAUUAGGUAGUUGGUGGGGUAAAGGCUCACCAAGCCUGUGAUCUAUAGCUGGUCUGAGAGGACGAUCAGCCACACUGGGACUGAGACACGGCCCAGACUUC